GUAAAUCACUCUUCAGCAAAUGCAAAAGAACAGAAAUCAUAACAAAUUCUCUCAGACCACAGUGCAAUCAAGUUAGAACUCAGAAUUCAGAAACUAACUCAGAACUGCACAGCAUCAUGGAAACUGAA
Molecule: long non-coding RNA, 128 nt
Organism: Sapajus apella (tufted capuchin)
Lineage: Eukaryota; Metazoa; Chordata; Mammalia; Primates; Cebidae
Exons: 3
Source: RefSeq, a predicted model, not a curated record